CCAUAGCCAAGUUGGUAAGGCAAUUGACUGCAACUCAAUGAGCGGCGGUUCAAGUCCGUCUGG
This 63-nucleotide transfer RNA is filed under the name bovine gut metagenome. It matches the Rfam family "tRNA", at positions 5 to 66 of the family's 71-position model. From Rfam's summary of the family: Transfer RNA (tRNA) molecules are approximately 80 nucleotides in length. Their secondary structure includes four short double-helical elements and three loops (D, anti-codon, and T loops). The record is from RNAcentral.